GGCGCUAUAGCCAAGUGGUUACGGCGACAGAUUAGAAUGACUUAUGCUUACAUAAGCAUCACGUGAUCUGUUCCUCUUUGAGGGCGCAGGUUCGAAUCCUGCUGGCGUCG
Molecule: transfer RNA, 110 nt
Organism: Hydnomerulius pinastri MD-312
Lineage: Eukaryota; Fungi; Basidiomycota; Agaricomycetes; Boletales
Rfam family: tRNA
About the family: Transfer RNA (tRNA) molecules are approximately 80 nucleotides in length. Their secondary structure includes four short double-helical elements and three loops (D, anti-codon, and T loops).
Source: Rfam